CCGAGUUUACAACUCCCAAACCCCUGUGAACAUACCAAUUGUUGCCUCGGCGGAUCAGCCCGCUCCCGGUAAAACGGGACGGCCCGCCAGAGGACCCCUAAACUCUGUUUCUAUAUGUACUUCUGAGUAAAACCAUAAAUAAAUCA
RNAcentral lists this unclassified non-coding RNA (146 nucleotides) under soil metagenome. RNAcentral describes it as "partial internal transcribed spacer 1". The record is from RNAcentral.